UCCACCUCUUAACAUAAAAAUAGUUUUCUUGCCUUAUUGAGUUUCUAGGGACAAGGAAUUGAAAUACUCAAAUCUCAUGUUAUGUCAUACCAGGAAAUGUAAACAAGAUCUUCCUCCACACAUUUCUUGUCAGAAUUUACCAUUGCAAUAUUCAUGGGUAAUUGCAUGUUUACCAUUCUAUUGCUUCAUGAACAAACUGGAAGCUGUUGCUGAUCCCUAUAGCUCCUAUAUAGUAGAAAUUUUCCAUUCCAUACUGGUGCUGCUUGCUUAAGUUCAACUUAAUUGUUCCUUUGGGAUUUCUCCAGGGGGUUAAUAUUAUGAAGUGUGUUUUUGACUGCCAUAUACUAAAUUCACAAUGACUUGCUUAGUUCUAUUACAUAAGCACAUCUCAAUCAUCUUUUCUCAUUCUAUAACUAAUUGUCUCUUUCUAUUUUUUUGUCCUGUGAGAAUCCUCUUGUAAGAGUCCAUGCUUCACUAUGAGCAUCAACCCAUGACGUUUUCAUUUAAAAAACGUUUUAACUUAUUGUAAGCGAUGGAGUUUACAUUCUCGAAGAAGGAUGUGUUUCUGCAUCUUGUUCCUUCAUUGGAGCAUAAUCUCUUAUCACAUUAACACCACUGCAACCCCGCUCUAACUGCACUUUGCAAAACCUAUCUAGUACUUUUUUCAGUACUGAAUUUUUUCUUUUCUUCUUUUUUGAAUAUUAGUAGCAAAGCAUUUGUUGUGGAUGGAAAAGUGGCCUGUCUGGUUUAAAGACUCUAAACUAGUCCAAUUGGGAGGGAAAAGACUCUAAAACUAGUCCAAUUGGGAGGGGCAGAAUUAAGUUAUGAAUAUGAACAAAAGAAAAUUACAGAAAGUAUGAUUAAAUAGAAAUGGAGGAAUAAUUUUGAAGCAAUUUUAAAAGGCAUAGACAUUGAUAUCAGGUUAUAUUGCAAAUUAUUUUAAAUAUAAUUUUAUAUGUGGUUCUAUCAUCAAUUCAUGAAAAGAAUAUGUGAUAUGGACACCAAGAUAUAUUUUCUACGGCCCACAAUGACUUCCUAGACAUGAGCAGAAGCAGGCUCAUUCUUUGAUCUCAUUGAAGGGGUCCAAGGUGCAGUAGCUGAAGAUGAAGGUGUUUUCCCAUGAGGAAAUAUUGAAACACUGGUUAGAAGUUCUUGAAACCAAUCCAGGUUGUAGGGCUGCUUAAUACCGGCCAGAUGGGUAAUGAACGUAUGAUGCUGUCCCCUGAUAAUGGAACUCCUCUUCACAAUAACUCCUCUUCACAAUAACUGUCAUUUCUUGGUCACUUCAUAAGUGGGAUCCAAUAUCAAUUUCUUAAGAGUGGAAUGGUAAUGAGAAUGAAAAAAGGGUGCAGUCUGAUCCAAACAUGUUGGACUGGCCAAAAAUAUGUUAAAAAAUUUAGAAAUUGAAAAAACCUUAAAAAAUGUAAAGAUGAGAAAAUUAAGGCAAAUAAAUUUUCUAAUCAUAGAAAUGAUUUUUGUAUGUUCGAUGUUUUAAGUUUGAUCUAUGUCCAACAAAUUGUUAAGUAUUGCUAAGUAGGCUUCAGGAAUAGCAAGUUCUACCUACAUGUGGAUGGGGACCUUGCUACAGUGAAUCAGGUUCUUCAAUAGUGUUAUUUCAGCUCUCUUGUAUAUACGUUCGACUAACUCAAUAUAAUCAGGUGGACCAAUGGAAAAUCCCCUCGUUCAAGCCAGCAUACAUGUGUGCUCAGUACAAUCUUAAUCGUGGUGACAUCUUUUCUGUUGGGUAUGCUCAUGAGAGAACAAAAUGGAUGUAUUCUCAAAGUUGUGGUGAAAGUAUAUGUAUCUGUUUUUGGGGAUGAGAGAGGGAAAGAGAUAGCAAUUGCUGGACUAAAAUCAAAAGCUAAAUACAUUCGCAGUGCUCUUGGAAGGCGUAUGAAGCUACGAUUGACUCCUGAGAUACGUUUUAUCGAGGAUGAUUCCAUAGAACGAGGGAGCAGGGUGAUUGCAAUAUUGGAUAAGCUGAAAAAUGAGAGCCAGAAUGCACACGUUCAUGAUGAAAUAAGUGACUUGGAUACACCUGAGCAAGAUGAGGGCUCAACACCGAGCAAAUCUGCAAGUGUUUUUCAAGACAAAGAUUGGCAAGAAGAUGAGGAUGAUGAUGUCUUUUAUGUAAAGUAGCCUUCUAUUUCUGAGACCAUCGACUAUUGGCACAUGGGUGGUUACUCAGUUGUAGUGGAAGAUUGAUAAGAGAAUUGGAGGCUUGCAACCAUAGUGAUCAAAUUGGAGGGAUCUGCUUGCUCUCUCUCUCUCUCUCUCUCUCCACACACACACACA
Molecule: non-coding RNA, 2295 nt
Organism: Amborella trichopoda
Lineage: Eukaryota; Viridiplantae; Streptophyta; Magnoliopsida; Amborellales; Amborellaceae
Source: RefSeq, a predicted model, not a curated record